CCUACGGGUGGCAGCAGUGGGGAAUAUUGCACAAUGGGGGAAACCCUGAUGCAGCGACGCCGCGUGAGUGAAGAAGUAAUUCGUUAUGUAAAGCUCUAUCAGCAGGGAAGAAAAUGACGGUACCUGAGUAAUAAACCCCGGCUAACUACGUGCCAGAAGCCGCGGUAAUACGGAGGGGGCAAGCGUUAUCCGGAUUUACUGGGGGUAAAGGGAGCGUAGACGGCAGUACAAGUCUGGAGUGAAAGGCGGGGCCUCAACCCCCGGAGUGCGCUGGAAAUAGUACGGCUGGAGUGCAGGAGAGGUAAGUGGAAUUCGUAGUGUAGCGGUGAAAUGCGUAGAUAUUAGGAGGAACACCAGUGGCGAAGGCGGCUUACUGGACUGUAACUGACGUUGAGGCUCGAAAGCGUGGGGAGCAAACAGGAUUAGAUACCCUUGUAGUC
This 440-nucleotide ribosomal RNA is filed under the name uncultured bacterium. RNAcentral's name for it is "partial 16S ribosomal RNA". It matches the Rfam family "Bacterial small subunit ribosomal RNA", at positions 338 to 795 of the family's 1533-position model. The record is from RNAcentral.